CCUGGGAAAUUUUGUAAGUCGCUCUGGAUAAGAGCGUCUGCUAAAUGACUUAAA
This is a non-coding RNA of Salmo salar (Atlantic salmon), 54 nucleotides long. The record is from Rfam. Lineage: Eukaryota; Metazoa; Chordata; Actinopteri; Salmoniformes; Salmonidae.